UGGGGAAUAUUGCACAAUGGGCGCAAGCCUGAUGCAGCCAUGCCGCGUGUGUGAAGAAGGCCUUCGGGUUGUAAAGCACUUUCAGCGGGGAGGAAGGCGAUAAGGUUAAUAACCUUGUCGAUUGACGUUACCCGCAGAAGAAGCACCGGCUAACUCCGUGCCAGCAGCCGCGGUAAUACGGAGGGUGCAAGCGUUAAUCGGAAUUACUGGGCGUAAAGCGCACGCAGGCGGUCUGUCAAGUCGGAUGUGAAAUCCCCGGGCUUAACCUGGGAACUGCAUUCGAAACUGGCAGGCUAGAGUCUUGUAGAGGGGGGUAGAGUUCCAGGUGUAGCGGUGAAAUGCGUAGAGAUCUGGAGGAAUACCGGUGGCGAAGGCGGCCCCCUGGACAAAGACUGACGCUCAGGUGCGAAAGCGUGGGGAGCAAACAGG
Molecule: ribosomal RNA, 429 nt
Filed under: Chloroflexota bacterium
Lineage: Bacteria; Bacillati; Chloroflexota
Description: Chloroflexi bacterium partial 16S ribosomal RNA
Rfam family: Bacterial small subunit ribosomal RNA
Source: RNAcentral